GACGAACGCUGGCGGCGUGCUUAACACAUGCAAGUCGAACGGAAAGGCCCUGCUUUUGUGGGGUGCUCGAGUGGCGAACGGGUGAGUAACACGUGAGUAACCUGCCCUUGACUUUGGGAUAACUUCAGGAAACUGGGGCUAAUACCGGAUAGGAGCUCCUGCUGCAUGGUGGGGGUUGGAAAGUUUCGGCGGUUGGGGAUGGACUCGCGGCUUAUCGGCUUGUUGGUGGGGUAGUGGCUUACCAAGGCUUUGACGGGUAGCCGGCCUGAGAGGGUGACCGGCCCCAUUGGGACUGAGAUACGGCCCAGACUCCUACGGGAGGCAGCAGUGGGGAAUAUUGCACAAUGGGCGGAAGCCUGAUGCAGCAACGCCGCGUGCGGGAUGACGGCCUUCGGGUUGUAAACCGCUUUCGCCUGUGACGAAGCGUGAGUGACGGUAAUGGGUAAAGAAGCACCGGCUAACUACGUG
RNAcentral lists this ribosomal RNA (468 nucleotides) under uncultured bacterium. RNAcentral's name for it is "partial 16S ribosomal RNA". It matches the Rfam family "Bacterial small subunit ribosomal RNA", at positions 28 to 507 of the family's 1533-position model. The record is from RNAcentral.